AUGACUCUGAUCUGCGUCCUCAUCUGGACUCUCCUCUGCUGCUGCUUCACAGAGUCCAGAGGACAGGUCACAGUGACUCAGCCUGCAGCAGUGAUAUCUGCUCCGGGAGGCUCCAUCACCAUCUCAUGCAGGACCAGUCAGGAUGUUUACAGUACUAACUAUCUGCACUGGUACCAACAGAAAGAUGGAGACACUCCUAUACUGCUCAUUAAGCAUACUAGCACUCGAGAAUCAAGUACUCCAGAUCGUUUUACGGGCAGUGGAUCUGGAUCUGACUUCACUCUGACUAUCAGUGGAGUCCAGACUGAAGAUGCUGCAGAUUACUACUGUCUGAGUGGACAGUACAUCAACAGUCAGUAUCUGUACACACAGUGAAAAAGCGUCGUACAAAAACCUCCUUCAGUCAGACUGAACAGAAACUGAACUGACAGCUGCAGCUGGAAGCUUCUGCAGAGACUGACACACUUCACUGAAGACACACACACACACACACACACACACACACACACACACAUAUUUUCAGUAUCUUAUCAAACACUCGCCACCAUAAAAUCCUCCUGUAUGCUGCUGACAUACAGUUACACUUUACAAACCCUCAUGUCUCACUGAUUAUAUCCAUAAAGCAAACAACAUUUAAAUAGAUAAUUCCUUCCUUCCUUCUUAAAAAACACUCAGUUAGAGAGCUUUGAGUUUACAGUUUUAACAAAGACACUUGGCCUGAUCAAGUAAAGCAGAAAUCCAACACCAGAAGAAAUAUGAGAAAAUUAAGUUGAUUUUUUAUUUCGGUCUGCAUCAACAAUUAACA
Non-coding RNA from Notolabrus celidotus (New Zealand spotty), 805 nucleotides. Lineage: Eukaryota; Metazoa; Chordata; Actinopteri; Labriformes; Labridae. The record is from the annotation of a RefSeq genome assembly.